Molecule: long non-coding RNA, 1447 nt
Filed under: Dromaius novaehollandiae (emu)
Lineage: Eukaryota; Metazoa; Chordata; Aves; Casuariiformes; Dromaiidae
Description: lncRNA (ENSDNVG00000017773.1)
Source: RNAcentral
UAGCUUAUUGAGGGGGCAAAAGAUUCUUUCUCCCAGAUGACAGGUUAAAAUGUCACACUGAAGUACUGAACUGUACUAGUCACUUGAACCCCAAAGAAAGGGCCAUGAUAUGACUGUGGACUAAACUUAAUUACCACAAAUUUGUCUGCCACUGCUACUUGUUGUCACUGGCUCAUUCUCAGCCCUCAUUAUCUCCAAUAGCCUGAUCUACCAAGUCACCAAACAUCUCUUCCAUUAAGAAUUUCCUAUUUGUUGUUCACAGUUUUAGGAACGAAGAUAAGUGUGAAGGAGAUUGGAUUCUAGACCAGUGCCAAGGUCAUGGGAUAUUGCAUUGUGCUGAUGGAACAAUAUAUGAGGUGAGAACAGUCGAGGUUUGGAGAUCUGGACCACCAUCAAAACCCACCAAAUUCUCUUAGCUUCUGCUGCUAGCUUCCUUGAGUUAAUUGAAGAAAACUCCUUUGUGUACCUACUGUGUGUAAGAAUCCUUUUCAUUAUGUAUAUCCCUUGAUUAACAUGUGGAUGCAGUAAUCAAAAAUAUUAGCAGUUGUUCAUUUGUUGAUGUAUUCUUCCUCCCUAAUUAAUCCUAGCUUUACUUGACAGUUGCUUGUUUGGAUGAGCUUUUUGGUUUUCUUUUCCUGCAGCAUUUCUUCUGAGCUCUUCCUGCUCCUCACAAGGCUGAAUGCCAUUCUUCUGGAAGGCAUGUUCCUAAGAGACAUUGUCAGUAGAACUCUGAGUAAAAUGGAUUACAAAGGGCAUUGAUUACCCUUCUGAAGAUGUUGAUUUGAGUUUAUAAGCUAUCGUUUGACAGCUGCUUCAUCUGGAAAUUGGGAACUGAAAUCUGCUGCUCCUGUAGUUAGCAAUUCUGGAUUUGCAUUGGCUGAUUCACCAAUCCUUAUGGGAGAUGUAUAGCCAGAAUCUGUAUCAGACACCUUGUAUGGAGUAGGAGAUGCUCCUAGCAACCAGGAUGAAAGGAGGCGAAAAGCCAAGUGGCAGGAUAUAUGCUGACAAAGCUGAGAAGAUGACAAUCACAGAAGAAAAUUGGACACAGCAGUUUGUCAUCAUUGAAUGCCAAGUUGAGGCUCGGGAGGUUAUAUAACAACUGAUCUGUGAUCUUUAAAAAUGAAUGACUUUUAUAGGAUUAAGGAAUGUGCAACUGAAGCCAAAGCCUCCUUUCACGUACACACCUCAGCGCUGCCAAAAUAACAGACCACACUGGUAAGAGAAGAAUUAUUUCUAAUCUUGUGAAACACUUGUGAGCCGUGGUGAUCCAGAAGUUGUAGAUUGUUUUAGCUGCAUUUUCGUAUCUUAAAAGGAAAGUUUAUUACAUUGUCAGGUGUAUUUGAUAUAAAUUCUCGAGACAGCAGUUGUUGUCAAGUGUACUGCAAACUUAGUUUAUUAAAAUGUAUUGGGAGAAGUCCUUAACUCACUGAAGUCUGUUAAAUUCUUC